AGCUUGAACGAGAUAUUAUAGUGAUGCAUUUAGCACAGUGCCCAACACACACCAAGUGUUCAGUGAAGCCUGGUCCUCAUUCUGGCCACCACUUUAUAAGUGACCUCAGGAUGAUUUCUAGAGGGUCAGGAACUUGCUGACCGUCACGCCAUCAGUUUGUUGCGUGAGCUGGGCCCUUCUUCCUCCCAGUGGGAACGCCUUUCCACUCUGCCUUUGUGGAUGGACCUAAUGACCGCCUGAACGCACAGCAGACCAUCAGGAAAUAGUUGUGACUGAUUCAUCUGUAUGCUCCAUAACCGAGCUGGAGAUGGGCCAUUUCAUUCUGGUCUCUGGAUUUUGGCUGCGUUUUCUCUCAUAGCAGGAAUUACGGCAGAAAGAUGGAAUGGAGGAAGAUGAAAACGCUCAGCUUUGCUCCCCGCUCCCUCUGAAGAGGCGUGUGAUCAGGGCCGAAGCAGGAGCACUGGCCCUCCUGGUGGGCACUCGCUGGGCUGUCGCCUUAAGCUUCCUUAUGACCACGGGAGACUGACACUCCUUCUUCCCCGUGCCUCUCUUCCUCUUGGUUCCAUCACAGUUUUAGGGCACGUAGCUGAAGCUUCACGGGUGGGAGAAAGAAGCAGUGCCACUCUGCACGAGUCGGAGUGUGGGUGUCAUUUUUGUUCUGAUAGGAGGAGGGAUCACCAUGUCUCCUUUCCGACUGAGGCUGCCCAGAGCCCUGGGUGCUGCUGUGGAUUCGCUCACCCUCAGUCCUGUGACCUCGGACACAGCAGCUCGGGUAGGAAUGUUAGUUUCCACGUCUGCAAAAUAAGGAGUAGGGGUGAGACUUAGAGGAACUCUCAAGUCCCUUUUGGCCUCAAAGUUCCAUGAUUCUGGCAGUCUAAAGGGGGUGUGUUUGAUAGCUCCUAACUGCAACCAUCUUCUGUCUCUCUUUCCCUUUUUAGCCUGUACCUCCAUCCAUCUAUCCACUUACCCCUCCUUCAUCUACCCUCCCACCUAUUCAUCCAUCCAUCCACCCACCCACCCAUCCAUCCAUCUAUACACCUAUCCACUCACCCAUUCCCCCAUCUACCCAACCACCCACUCAUCUAUAUGCCUAUCUACUUAUCUACACACCUAUCCACCCACCCAUCUUCCCACCUAUCCAUCCAUCCAUCCACCCACCCACCCACCCAUCCGCCCAUUCAUCUAU
Molecule: long non-coding RNA, 1186 nt
Filed under: Equus caballus (horse)
Lineage: Eukaryota; Metazoa; Chordata; Mammalia; Perissodactyla; Equidae
Description: lncRNA (ENSECAG00000051292.1)
Source: RNAcentral